GAUGAACGCUGGCGGCGUGCUUAACACAUGCAAGUCGAACGGAAAGGCUCCUGCUUGCAGGGGUACUCGAGUGGCGAACGGGUGAGUAACACGUGGGUGAUCUGCCCUGCACUUCGGGAUAAGCCUGGGAAACUGGGUCUAAUACCGGAUAGGACGAUGGUUUGGAUGCCAUUGUGGAAAGUUUUUUCGGUGUGGGAUGAGCUCGCGGCCUAUCAGCUUGUUGGUGGGGUAAUGGCCUACCAAGGCGUCGACGGGUAGCCGGCCUGAGAGGGUGUACGGCCACAUUGGGACUGAGAUACGGCCCAGACUCCUACGGGAGGCAGCAGUGGGGAAUAUUGCACAAUGGGCGCAAGCCUGAUGCAGCGACGCCGCGUGGGGGAUGACGGCCUUCGGGUUGUAAACUCCUUUCGCUAGGGACGAAGCGCAAGUGACGGUGCCUGGAGAAGAAGCACCGGCUAACUACGUG
RNAcentral lists this ribosomal RNA (466 nucleotides) under uncultured bacterium. RNAcentral's name for it is "partial 16S ribosomal RNA". It matches the Rfam family "Bacterial small subunit ribosomal RNA", at positions 28 to 507 of the family's 1533-position model. The record is from RNAcentral.